GUCGAGGAAGGGCGUGGCGACCGGCUUGGCGGGUUUGCUGCCCGCGCCCUCGCCCUGCGCGAGGAUGCGCCAGCGGAUGGUGUCCACGUCCUUGGUG
This 97-nucleotide transfer RNA is filed under the name Deinococcus indicus. RNAcentral describes it as "tRNA-Ala". Lineage: Bacteria; Thermotogati; Deinococcota; Deinococci; Deinococcales; Deinococcaceae. RNAcentral also lists the same sequence under 1 other name. The record is from RNAcentral.